RNAcentral lists this ribosomal RNA (539 nucleotides) under uncultured bacterium. Its description in RNAcentral is "partial 16S ribosomal RNA". It matches the Rfam family "Bacterial small subunit ribosomal RNA", at positions 355 to 909 of the family's 1533-position model. The record is from RNAcentral.
UGGGGAAUAUUGCACAAUGGGCGAAAGCCUGAUGCAGCAACGCCGCGUGAGUGAUGAAGGCCUUUGGGUUGUAAAGCUCUGUUGCUUUGGGACGAUAAUGACGGUACCAAAGGAGGAAGCCACGGCUAACUACGUGCCAGCAGCCGCGGUAAUACGUAGGUGGCAAGCGUUGUCCGGAUUUACUGGGCGUAAAGGAUGCGUAGGCGGAUUUUUAAGUGAGAUGUGAAAUACCCGGGCUUAACUUGGGUGCUGCAUUUCAAACUGGGAAUCUAGAGUGCGGGAGAGGAGAAUGGAAUUCCUAGUGUAGCGGUGAAAUGCGUAGAGAUUAGGAAGAACACCAGUGGCGAAGGCGAUUCUCUGGACCGUAACUGACGCUGAGGCAUGAAAGCGUGGGUAGCAAACAGGAUUAGAUACCCUGGUAGUCCACGCCGUAAACGAUGAGUACUAGGUGUAGGAGGUAUCGACCCCUUCUGUGCCGCAGUUAACACAAUAAGUACUCCGCCUGGGAAGUACGAUCGCAAGAUUAAAACUCAAAUGAA